RNAcentral lists this ribosomal RNA (33 nucleotides) under Opuntia robusta (nopal tapon). RNAcentral's name for it is "partial 18S ribosomal RNA". Lineage: Eukaryota; Viridiplantae; Streptophyta; Magnoliopsida; Caryophyllales; Cactaceae. The record is from RNAcentral.
UUUUCCUAGGGGUAACUUGCGGAAGGAUCAUUG